AUUUAUAUAGUUUAAAAAUAAAACAUUACAUUUUCAAUGUAAAAUUAAAAAAAAUUUUUUAUAAAUA
RNAcentral lists this transfer RNA (67 nucleotides) under Vincenzellus ruficollis. RNAcentral's name for it is "tRNA-Glu". Lineage: Eukaryota; Metazoa; Arthropoda; Insecta; Coleoptera; Salpingidae. The record is from RNAcentral.